GAUGAACGCUGGCGGCGUGCCUAAUACAUGCAAGUCGAGCGAACAGGCGAGGAGCUUGCUCCUCUGACGUUAGCGGCGGACGGGUGAGUAACACGUGGAUAACCUACCUAUAAGACUGGGAUAACUUCGGGAAACCGGAGCUAAUACCGGAUAAUAUAUUGAACCGCAUGGUUCAAUAGUGAAAGACGGUUUUGCUGUCACUUAUAGAUGGAUCCGCGCCGCAUUAGCUAGUUGGUAAGGUAACGGCUUACCAAGGCAACGAUGCGUAGCCGACCUGAGAGGGUGAUCGGCCACACUGGAACUGAGACACGGUCCAGACUCCUACGGGAGGCAGCAGUAGGGAAUCUUCCGCAAUGGGCGAAAGCCUGACGGAGCAACGCCGCGUGAGUGAUGAAGGUCUUCGGAUCGUAAAACUCUGUUAUUAGGGAAGAACAAAUGUGUAAGUAACUAUGCACGUCUUGACGGUACCUAAUCAGAAGGCCACGGCUAACUACGUG
Molecule: ribosomal RNA, 497 nt
Filed under: uncultured bacterium
Lineage: Bacteria
Description: partial 16S ribosomal RNA
Rfam family: Bacterial small subunit ribosomal RNA
Source: RNAcentral